This 645-nucleotide long non-coding RNA is filed under the name Mytilus galloprovincialis (Mediterranean mussel). The record is from RNAcentral. Lineage: Eukaryota; Metazoa; Mollusca; Bivalvia; Mytilida; Mytilidae.
UAUGGUUCUUGAAAGAUCGUAAAAUGGCGUUUCCAGUCGUUUCCGUGCAUUUACGCAUGAACUGUUCUACUAAAGCUUCCCAAAUUUUAAUAUGUUGUUACUGAUGACAAAAUGGAGGUCAAGUUCAAUAAUGACGAUUUUGACAGCCUCUUGUUUAUAUAUAUAGUGGGGAAAAAAGAUUUAAAAGGACUAGUAAAAAGUUUAUAGCUGUCAAAUAAAGGCAAAAGAUACAUCAUUUCAUAUAGAUGAAAGAUAAGUGUUGGAAUCAUACCAUUAAACAGGUGUAUGAUUGUAAAUGGAAUAUGUAGUUGAAGAAAUGUUCAAUGUAUUUACUCAUUUGAAUAUAUAUUUGCUUGCAGUUUUGCAUGAUAUUCUGCAAAUCUCCAAUUCCAAUUUUGUUUGGUAUGGUAUAAUUUUAAAGGUGUGAUAUAUUUGAUAUAAAAAAAAUCCUUGAUAUUAUCAUAACAAUCUAGGCCUUUUUUGUAUAUGUUGUUCAAUUUAUUCUGUUUCUAGAUUUCUUUUUUAUUCAGAAAUAUUUUACAUUUUUGUGAGUUUAAAUAUGAAUGUUUUACAUGGAUUAAGACUGUGCUGGUAUGUACAUACAUAUCAUUGUAGCAUUCACCAGUGUUUGUUAUUGGUCUUUUU